Molecule: non-coding RNA, 243 nt
Filed under: Lentilactobacillus senioris
Lineage: Bacteria; Bacillati; Bacillota; Bacilli; Lactobacillales; Lactobacillaceae
Description: Lactobacillus senioris T-box sequence
Rfam family: T-box leader
About the family: Uncharged tRNA acts as the effector for transcription antitermination of genes in the T-box leader family. T-boxes are found upstream of many aminoacyl-tRNA synthetase genes and some amino acid biosynthetic genes usually in Gram-positive bacteria.
Source: RNAcentral
AUAAAAACGUAUGAGAGACAAGUACAUUAGGCAGGCACUAUCAGUGAGAUGGGAACUAGUGAAAACCCAUUUAGUUGCGGCUUAAUCGAAUAACACUCUCUAAGUUUCAUACUGAAAUGCGAAUGCAAAGUAGGUGUUGACGUCGUCGGAACGUUACUACCGGAGCGUAUGUUAGUACGUAUUAGAGUGUCUUGUGUAUGCAAGAAACUUGGGUGGUACCGCGAAAAGUCUUUCGUCCCUUGU